This 1207-nucleotide long non-coding RNA is filed under the name Equus asinus (donkey). RNAcentral describes it as "lncRNA (ENSEASG00005026488.1)". The record is from RNAcentral. Lineage: Eukaryota; Metazoa; Chordata; Mammalia; Perissodactyla; Equidae.
AAAGAGGGCCUGGUUCCAGUGCCUCAGUUGCAAAAUGACCAGCGUUCAGUGGGAAGGGCCAAUGGUGCCUGCAGCCCCUCUGGGAAUCCCACCCAUGAGGGGUCAGCACCAGGGAGAACACUGGCCUGGAGUUGUGCAGACCCUUCUCCCCAACGAGCGAGACUGAGCCCAGGAUCAUCCCCCAUCCACCUGCAACCCCCGGCCCCCACCCACCUAUGCUGGACAUUCAUGAUGCGGCCACCGGAGACCCUGACACAUGUCACCGCCCCGCCUUCCUUCAAGGACCCCCACCAUGGGAGGAUAGUCCCAGGCCUGGUGCCCUCCGUCCUCCCUUCCUCCUCUUCUGUUCCCUCCCACUUCUCAGUCCCCUCCCCCUCCUCCAUCCCUCUUCCUGCUCCAAGGAGGAGUGGGGCAGAGUGGGAGGCAGAGCAACAGCCUCCAAAGACCUCCUAGUCCUUGGAACCUGUGAAAUGUGACCUUACGUGGCAGAAGGGACUUGGCGGAUGGAUUAAGUGAAGGAUCCUGAGAUGGGGGUGUUGUCCUGGUUUCUCCAGAUGGGCCCAGUGUCAUCACAAGGGUCCUCAUAAGAGGGAGCAAGAGAAUCAAGAGGAGAUGUGACCACCGAACCAAAGUUUGGAGCGAUGCACUUUGAAGAUAGAGGAAGGUGCCAUGAGCCAAUGAUGCAAGCAGCCUCUUGAAGCUGGAAAAGGGUCGAGAGAAGUUGUGAAGUGUCCCAUGCACCCUCUACCUAGCCCCCACAGUGGCUGCAGUACAACACCCCAGCAGGGAAUGGACGUCAGUGCAACACACAGAUCUCGUUGAGUCCACUGUCUGCAAACACGUGUGUGCAUGUGCAGCACCAUGUGGUUUCAUCACAUGUGACUCCAUGUACCUGUGGCCACAACCAAGACACAAAAGUGUUGGGUCACCACAAGACUUUUUAUAGGCACCACCAUCCCUAAGCCCUGGAAACCACUCAUCUAUUCUCCCUUGCUGCAAUCACAUUGUCUGACAAGUGGUAUGUAAUUGGAUUGUGCAGCACGUAUCUUUUUGAGAUUGGCUUUUUCACUCACCAUGCUUUGCUUGAGGUUCAUCCAAGUUGCUGUGUCAGAGAUUCAUUCCUUCUUAUUGCUGAAUAGUAUGCCCCGGACAUGGAGGGUCCACAGUCUGUUUAAUCAUCCACCAUCCGAGGGCAUCUGGAUAGCUU